AGCGAACGCUGGCGGCGUGCUUAACACAUGCAAGUCGAGUGCGCGGUUCGUAGCAAUACGAACUGGCGCACGGCGCACGGGUGAGGAACACGUGGGCAACAUGCCCUCCGAUGGGGAAUAACCCGCCGAAAGGCGGGCUAAUACCGCAUACGAUUCCGGGGACCUCGGUUCCUGGACUGAAAGCCCGCAAGGGCGUCGGUGGAGUGGCCCGCGGCCGAUUAGCUUGUUGGCGGGGAACGGCCCACCAAGGCAAUGAUCGGUAGCCGGUCUGAGAGGAUGAUCGGCCACACUGGAACUGAGACACGGUCCAGACUCCUACGGGAGCAGCAGUGGGGAAUCUUGCGCAAUGGGCGAAAGCCUGACGCAGCGACGCCGCGUGGGGAUGAAGCCUUUCGGGGCGUAAACCCCUUUCGACCCGGACGAAAUGCCCGCAAGGGAAUUGACGGUACGGGUAUAAGAAGCCCCGGCUAACUACGUGCCAGCAGCCG
RNAcentral lists this ribosomal RNA (488 nucleotides) under uncultured bacterium. RNAcentral's name for it is "bacterial SSU rRNA". It matches the Rfam family "Bacterial small subunit ribosomal RNA", at positions 28 to 517 of the family's 1533-position model. The record is from RNAcentral.